This 497-nucleotide ribosomal RNA is filed under the name uncultured bacterium. RNAcentral's name for it is "partial 16S ribosomal RNA". It matches the Rfam family "Bacterial small subunit ribosomal RNA", at positions 28 to 507 of the family's 1533-position model. The record is from RNAcentral.
GAUGAACGCUGGCGGCGUGCCUAAUACAUGCAAGUCGAGCGAACGGACGAGAAGCUUGCUUCUCUGAUGUUAGCGGCGGACGGGUGAGUAACACGUGGAUAACCUACCUAUAAGACUGGGAUAACUUCGGGAAACCGGAGCUAAUACCGGAUGAUAUUUUGAACCGCAUGGUUCAAAAGUGAAAGACGGUCUUGCUGUCACUUAUAGAUGGAUCCGCGCUGCAUUAGCUAGUUGGUAAGGUAACGGCUUACCAAGGCAACGAUGCAUAGCCGACCUGAGAGGGUGAUCGGCCACACUGGAACUGAGACACGGUCCAGACUCCUACGGGAGGCAGCAGUAGGGAAUCUUCCGCAAUGGGCGAAAGCCUGACGGUGCAACGCCGCGUGAGUGAUGAAGGUCCUCGGAUCGUAAAACUCUGUUAUUAGGGAAGAACAUAUGUGUAAGUAACUGUGCACAUCUUGACGGUACCUAAUCAGAAAGCCACGGCUAACUCCGUG